RNAcentral lists this ribosomal RNA (388 nucleotides) under uncultured bacterium. RNAcentral describes it as "bacterial SSU rRNA". It matches the Rfam family "Bacterial small subunit ribosomal RNA", at positions 28 to 416 of the family's 1533-position model. The record is from RNAcentral.
GACGAACGCUGGCGGCGUGCUUAACACAUGCAAGUCGAGCGGUAAGGCCCUUUCGGGGGUACACGAGCGGCGAACGGGUGAGUAACACGUGGGUGACCUGCCCUCAGCUCUGGGAUAAGCCUGGGAAACCGGGUCUAAUACUGGAUAUGACUCCAUGACGCAUGUUGUGGGGUGGAAAGCCUUGUGCGGCUGAGGAUGGGCCCGCGGCCUAUCAGCUUGUUGGUGGGGUGAUGGCCUACCAAGGCGACGACGGGUAGCCGGCCUGAGAGGGCGACCGGCCACACUGGGACUGAGACACGGGCCCAGACUCCUACGGGAGGCAGCAGUGGGGAAUCUUGCGCAAUGGGCGAAAGCCUGACGCAGCGACGCCGCGUGAGGGAUGACGGCC